Molecule: long non-coding RNA, 284 nt
Filed under: Lathyrus oleraceus (garden pea)
Lineage: Eukaryota; Viridiplantae; Streptophyta; Magnoliopsida; Fabales; Fabaceae
Description: Pisum sativum (pea) long non-coding RNA (PSAT_LNC007759)
Source: RNAcentral
UGAAAAAAAUAAGUGAUUUUUUUAAAAAAUAAAAAAAUGAUUUUUUCAAAAAUAAAAAAAUUAAUAUUAAAAAAAAUGGAUAUCCAUUCACUAAAAAUAUGAUAAUGGUUGAAUUAGAUGAAUUUUAUUUUUAAUGAAUGAUUUAGAUUAGAUGUUUUUAAAAAACUUUUAAUGUAUUGUUAAUGGACUAAUGAAUUGUUUUGAUCCAUCGAUUGACGAUCCAAUCUAUAUUCAUCUAAUCUAUCUAUUUUGCCACCUCUAUUCACCAUACCUUUCGACUGCAA